ACGUAGGGUGCAAGCGUUAAUCGGAAUUACUGGGCGUAAAGCGUGCGCAGGCGGUUUUGUAAGUCUGACGUGAAAUCCCCGGGCUCAACCUGGGAAUUGCGUUGGAGACUGCAAGGCUAGAAUCUGGCAGAGGGGGGUAGAAUUCCACGUGUAGCAGUGAAAUGCGUAGAGAUGUGGAGGAACACCGAUGGCGAAGGCAGCCCCCUGGGUCAAGAUUGACGCUCAUGCACGAAAGCGUGGGGAGCAAACAGG
Molecule: ribosomal RNA, 252 nt
Filed under: uncultured bacterium
Lineage: Bacteria
Description: partial 16S ribosomal RNA
Rfam family: Bacterial small subunit ribosomal RNA
Source: RNAcentral